Molecule: ribosomal RNA, 468 nt
Filed under: uncultured bacterium
Lineage: Bacteria
Description: partial 16S ribosomal RNA
Rfam family: Bacterial small subunit ribosomal RNA
Source: RNAcentral
GACGAACGCUGGCGGCGCGCCUAACACAUGCAAGUCGAACGGAGCUGCGAGAAGCUUGCUUUUCUUAGCUUAGUGGCGAACGGGUGAGUAACGCGUGAGUAACCUGCCCUGGAGUGGGGGACAACAGUUGGAAACGGCUGCUAAUACCGCAUAAGCCCACGAUCCGGCAUCGGAUUGAGGGAAAAGGAUUUAUUCGCUUCAGGAUGGACUCGCGUCCAAUUAGCUAGUUGGUGAGGUAACGGCCCACCAAGGCGACGAUUGGUAGCCGGACUGAGAGGUUGAACGGCCACAUUGGGACUGAGACACGGCCCAGACUCCUACGGGAGGCAGCAGUGGGGGAUAUUGCACAAUGGGGGAAACCCUGAUGCAGCGACGCCGCGUGGAGGAAGAAGGUUUUCGGAUUGUAAACUCCUGUCGUUAGGGACGAUAAUGACGGUACCUAACAAGAAAGCACCGGCUAACUACGUG